Molecule: ribosomal RNA, 877 nt
Filed under: Triticum aestivum (bread wheat)
Lineage: Eukaryota; Viridiplantae; Streptophyta; Magnoliopsida; Poales; Poaceae
Description: partial small subunit ribosomal RNA
Source: RNAcentral
UGGGCUUUGGCCCGCUGUUGCAGAGAAGAGGCCGGCAGGGGCGAUACUGGGCCGGGAGGCCGAGCGCUGGGCCUUGCGCGGGCUGGCGCUGCUCGGUGGAUCUAGGGGUCGACGGGCUGAGGUGGAGCUGGGCAUCUGGGCUGCGAGCGAAGCAGAGGAGGCCUCGCGCGGCGAGUGGCACUCGUCCAGGCUGGCGCUGGACUGGUCAACGCGGGGCGGGGUGACUUGUCGUUGGCCGUCGUCGUUCCCACACGCAGAAGCAGAGGCCAGCGACGAGGACUUGGGGAGGACCGACCGUGGAGACGAGAUGGAGGGCGCGGCCUGCGGGGUCCAGCUGGAGCCUCUCGACGCCGAUGAGGAUCUCGGGGAGGAGAGGAGCGGUCGAGGUAGAGGCGGCGUCCUCUAUCUGGACUGCUGCCAUUCGACGCAGCGGAAGCAGAGGAGCAGCAACGGCGGGAUAUCGAUGGGAACGGGGCCGGAGAAGGUCGUGGGGGUCGGGAAAAAGGCGCGGCGGCGGUGAUCCCCUCCAGAUCCGGCGCGGCUUGGGGCUUGGCAAGCUCGCACGAGGUCGGAACUAGAGAACGACGACUCUUGUCCAUGGCGUCGGGGCAGAGCUCCUUUGGGUUCUUGUGGAAGCAAGAGAAGGAGAGAGAGGGGGGAUUAGAGCAGAGGAGGGAGGAGAAGGCAGGAAAAAAGAAGAAGGGCGCAGGUGAGGGCGAUGGCCUGGCCAUGGUCGUCGGCGCGAUGAGGUCUUGGGCGCGAGGGGACUGGCGAGCGGCGCUGGUUGGUUGCAUACAGAAAAAGAGAGGUGGGUUGGAUGGAUCCCGAGGGAGAAGGGACAAGAGUGGCGGCGGCGCUAGGAAUUAGGGAGUAUGGG